Molecule: long non-coding RNA, 644 nt
Organism: Arabidopsis lyrata subsp. lyrata
Lineage: Eukaryota; Viridiplantae; Streptophyta; Magnoliopsida; Brassicales; Brassicaceae
Exons: 3
Source: RefSeq, a predicted model, not a curated record
UCGCGUCGAUUCCGUCAUUACCCUUCAGCCUCAGCCUCUUUAUCUUCGAUCUACUCCUCCACCAUUCAAUCUUCCCACUUCUCUCUCCGAUCUCAGAUCUCCCUCUCUUUCUUCGAUUUGUGACGAACGAGAGCUUAGCUUCUCCUCCAAUGGCGGUCAACUCCAAUCAUCGCUUCCUCUCUUUUUCUUCGGUGCUCGUCGGUUUUGCAGUGAAAUGGCAUGGCUUCUCCUUGAAACCAAUGACGAAGCUCUUGGUUAACUAACUCCGCCAGAGGGAUUACUUCGAGAAGCACAAAUUCAAUGACUCUUCUUCUUCUUUGCCUUCAUACUCCUUUCAAAAUGUAGAGACUCCUGCGGAGAAGAAGUUAGAGGAUGUAAUGCCCAUUGCAACUGGACAUGAGAAGAGGAGCUUGAAGCUGAAUUGGAGUUCUCCAGUUUAAAUCUGAGGAGCUUAGGGUUGAAGAGAGUAGUAAUACAGCGACGAAAAGGAAAGAAGGUGGUAGAGAUGUCGUAGUCGCUGAAUCUGAGGAGCUUAGGAUUGAAGAGAGUAGUAAUACGGUGGAGGAGAGUGAAACUGAAGCAGAGAAUGAAGAGAAAACAGAGUUGACUAUUGAAGAAGACGAUGAUGAUUGGGAAGGAAUUGA